RNAcentral lists this small RNA (1249 nucleotides) under Pongo abelii (Sumatran orangutan). RNAcentral's name for it is "retained intron". Lineage: Eukaryota; Metazoa; Chordata; Mammalia; Primates; Hominidae. The record is from RNAcentral.
GACUUUAGUUUCAAUUGAAACAAAUUUGAACUAAAUAAUAAAUAUGACUGUAAUUCUACAGUUUUACAAUUGUAAAUAUAGACUGUAUGAAAGACUACAUAUUUUCAGAUUGUGUGUGUAUAAGGAUAUAACUGAGGAAAAUAAAUUGAUAAUACUCAUUAGCAUAUGAGUGUUGUAUAAAUUUACACCUGUGGUAUGAGCAAAAUGAAAUUUAACUGUAGAGGAAUGAUGCCGUGCAACUUUAUCUUCAACUUUGAAUGAGAAAAGAGACUUUCUUCCCCGUUAAUUUCCUACAGUUUAGAUUUUAUAUUUGAAAGGGACUCUAGAAGUCAACAAAUUCAACCCUAAUUGAUGUGUGGAAUAGUUUUUUUCUUCAUCUUUUUUUUUCUCUCUUAGCACCUUCUAGCCACCAUGGCAACCUCAUCUGAAGAAGUUUUGCUGAUUGUAAAGAAAGUGCGUCAAAAGAAGCAGGAUGGAGCUCUAUACCUCAUGGCAGAAAGAAUUGCUUGGGCACCUGAAGGCAAAGAUAGAUUUACAAUCAGCCAUAUGUAUGCAGAUAUUAAAUGCCAGAAAAUUAGUCCAGAAGGAAAAGCUAAAAUUCAGCUUCAGCUGGUCCUACAUGCAGGGGACACAACUAACUUCCAUUUUUCCAAUGAAAGCACAGCAGUGAAAGAGCGAGAUGCAGUAAAAGACCUUCUUCAGCAGCUGCUGCCCAAAUUCAAGAGGAAAGCAAAUAAAGAACUGGAAGAGAAGAACAGAAUGCUGCAAGAAGAUCCUGUUUUGUUUCAGCUUUAUAAAGACCUUGUUGUGAGUCAAGUGAUCAGUGCUGAGGAAUUCUGGGCCAAUCGUUUAAAUGUGAAUGCAACAGAUAGUUCUUCCACAUCCAAUCAUAAGCAGGAUGUUGGCAUUUCUGCUGCAUUUCUGGCUGAUGUCCGGCCCCAAACUGAUGGGUGUAAUGGUCUAAGAUAUAAUUUAACUUCUGAUAUCAUUGAGUCCAUAUUUAGGACCUAUCCAGCAGUAAAAAUGAAAUACGCAGAAAACGUUCCCCAUAACAUGACAGAGAAGGAAUUCUGGACACGUUUUUUCCAGUCCCAUUAUUUUCACAGGGAUCGGCUGAAUACAGGGUCAAAGGAUCUCUUUGCAGAAUGUGCCAAAAUAGAUGAAAAAGGCCUAAAAACAAUGGUUUCAUUAGGAGUGAAAAACCCACUACUAGAUUUAACAGCUUUGGAAGAUAAACCAUUAGAUGAGG